AUGGUGGCCAUCAUAGCCGAUUAUCCUGGGCUACUCCCUGCAUCGCAUGGAAGGCCCUCGGGACGCCAUGCCGAACCCGCAGUGACUCACCAACAAGGGGCACCGAAGCCGGGUAGGCUUAAAACGAAGGCGGUCAGGACUGAGACGCCGUCGCAGAGGAAAAAUGCUCGCCGGACUAUAUCCGGAGAGGUUGCCGGUCACGCCUCCACCAGUCGGGCUCCAGAGCCGGACAUAGAGGCGGACGCUAACAUGAGGCGAACGCCGGAUGUUCCUCCUACAGAGGAUGCGAAUAGGCUAUCCGCUACAAAUUCUGAAGUGGAGAGCGCCAUGAAUCACAGGCGUCGCCGGGCCGUACUCCGUGACGCUUGUUUCUCCCAAGAGGCGUUCGAUGCCUUCAACUCAGGAGACGCGUACAUCCGAGCUGCUCAAAAUGGUCUUGCCAGAGCCACAUACCAGUAUGUAAAGGAUAUACGGGUUCUUACGGAGAAGAAUACCCGGUUGUCUCAAGAGCUGGAGGAGUGCAAAGCCCAGCUUCAGGCCGCAAUUGCCGCAGUAAAGGAGUCCGAGAAGGCCCCGCCUGAUGACUCCGGAGUGAAUCCGGAGAUCAUGAUAGGGGAUGAGCCGCAUGCUCAACGACAGCUAAAGGCUGGCGAGCGCGUGCUUACACGGGUUAGGCGGGAGAAAAACCAUCUCCAAGACGCCAAUAUCCAGCUGGGCGUGGAACUGAAAGAUGUUCGAGCCCAGCUUGCUGACUCCGUAAAGGAGAAUAAGCGGCUUCGACGCAGCAUUUUCAUUAAGUGCUUGAACGAACUUUUUAAAGAGUUCGGUGAAGAAACCGGCUAA
Molecule: ribosomal RNA, 843 nt
Filed under: Triticum aestivum (bread wheat)
Lineage: Eukaryota; Viridiplantae; Streptophyta; Magnoliopsida; Poales; Poaceae
Description: partial small subunit ribosomal RNA
Source: RNAcentral